Molecule: ribosomal RNA, 292 nt
Filed under: uncultured bacterium
Lineage: Bacteria
Description: partial 16S ribosomal RNA
Rfam family: Bacterial small subunit ribosomal RNA
Source: RNAcentral
GUGCCAGCCGCCGCGGUAAUACGUGGGGUGCAAGCGUUGUUCGGAAUUACUGGGCGUAAAGCGCGUGUAGGCGGUCAUUUAUGUCAGGUGUGAAAGCCCUCGGCUUAACCGAGGAAGUGCGCCUGAAACUGAAUGGCUGGAGUACGGGAGAGGAGGACGGAAUUCCCAGUGUAGAGGUGAAAUUCGUAGAUAUUGGGAGGAACACCGGUGGCGAAAGCGGUUCUCUGGACCGUAACUGACGCUGAGACGCGAAAGCGUGGGUAGCAAACAGGAUUAGAAACCCGCGUAGUCC